GCUGCCUCCAGGUGAGCACUCACCAACUCAGAGUUGUCUCUGCUCUUGGUUGUUGUUUUAUUCUACAUGCUGCUUGUUUAUUUAAACAGUCUAUUUAAUCAGUCUAUGUGUUAGGUUUGUUCAGGCAGCUUAAUUGCUGGAUUUAUUUAGGCAGGGUUCUUGCUGGAUUUAGCUAGGCAGUCUAUGGCUGUGUUUAGCUAGGCAGUCUAUUGCUGGAUUUAUCUAGGCAGUCUAUUGCUGUGUUUAUCUAGGCAGUCUAUUGCUGUGUUUAGCUAGGCAGUCUAUUGCUGUGUUUAGCUAGGCAGUCUAUUGCUGUGUUUAGCUAGGCAGUCUAUUGCUGUGUUUAUCCAAGCAGUCUAUUGCUGUGUUUAUCCAAGCAGUCUAUUGCUGUGUUAUUUCCUAUACCACUUCAUGCUAUGUAGCUGCUGUAUCACUUGUUAACAUCUGUUGCUGUAUUGAGGCUAUUUAUCUGAUAGACUCUGUAUACUGCUCAUUGAUUUAUUGUUAUUCUGGGUUACUUUAUUCUGUUUUCUCACUCUGCUGUAUGGGGAAUGGGUGCCCCUGCUAUGAUGCUUUGGCUCUGCCUGUAAUCUGUUCACCCUCCCCGGGUUCCCC
This is a non-coding RNA of Pelobates cultripes (western spadefoot toad), 615 nucleotides long. Lineage: Eukaryota; Metazoa; Chordata; Amphibia; Anura; Pelobatidae. The record is from the annotation of a GenBank genome assembly.